CCUACGGGUGGCACCAGUGGGGAAUAUUGCACAAUGGGCGCAAGCCUGAUGCAGCCAUGCCGCGUGUAUGAAGAAGGCCUUCGGGUUGUAAUGUACUUUCAGCGGGGAGGAAGGUGUUGUGGUUAAUAACCACAGCAAUUGACGUUACCCGCAGAAGAAGCACCGGCUAACUCCGUGCCAGCAACCGCGGUAAUACGGAGGGUGCAAGCGUUAAUCGGAAUUACUGGGCGUAAAGCGCACGCAGGCGGUCUGCCAAGUCGGAUGUGAAAUCCCCGGGCUCAACCUGGGAACUGCAUUCGAAACUGGCAGGCUAGAGUCUUGUAGAGGGGGGUAGAAUUCCAGGUGUAGCGGUGAAAUGCGUAGAGAUCUGGAGGAAUACCGGUGGCGAAGGCGGCCCCCUGGACAAAGACUGACUCUCAGGUGCGAAAGCGUGGGGAGCAAACAGGAUUAGAUACCCCAGUAGUC
RNAcentral lists this ribosomal RNA (465 nucleotides) under uncultured bacterium. Its description in RNAcentral is "bacterial SSU rRNA". It matches the Rfam family "Bacterial small subunit ribosomal RNA", at positions 338 to 795 of the family's 1533-position model. The record is from RNAcentral.